GAGACAGAGAGACAGAGAGAGAAUGAGUGGGGGAGGGGAAGAGAAAGAGGGAAACAGAGGAUCUGAAACAGGCUCUGUGCAGAUAGCAGACAGUCCAUUGUGGGGCUGGAACUCAUGGACUGUGAGAUCAUGACCUGAGUUGAAGUCAGAUGCUCAACCAACUGAGCCACUCAGGCGCCCCUCUCUCAAAAUUAAUAAACUAAAAAAAAAUUAUUUUAGCCCAUGUAGAGUUUUAAAAAAUGUUUUCGUGGGCAAAGAGGGCCUGGGGCUUCCUAGUCUGCCAUCUUGCAAAUCUCACUUCACUGUGGCCAGUGUUAUAGUCCCAUUUAUUUCAAUGCUCACUAGUAGUUUGGAUAUGUGAACAAAUUGGAUAUGUGAACACAGGCUUCAGGCCUUCCUCAUGGUUUCUCAGCAGGAAUCAAAAUGAGGUGUGUUUUAAUAGCACAAAAUUACAUUCAACCUAUGUAUACUUGUACUACAUCAAGAUGGAAGCAUUUACAUGCUAUAUUAAUGCAAUUAAAAGAAAUGUAAAGUGAUAGAUUUUGUUUUGCAAAGCCAUGGGUUAGCAAUUCUGAAACUACUUCCUGUACAUUCUGUCUCCCCACAAGAUGCUUAUUAGUAAUUGUAUAGUGGAGAAAUCUGAAAGGCACUACCUUAACCAAAUGAUCAAAGCUGACAGUGCCUUAAGGGGACAAUGUGCCUCCUGAUAUAGGUGCAUUAGAAUUUUUUGUAGUAUUCCUGCUGAAAAUAAUCUAAAUUUAACACCAAGAAAACAUUAGUGAAAUCCAAUUUGUCAAUAUUAUGAAAAUAUAAAGAAAUCAUCAGGAAAACACUAACAAUUUGUUGCCUCUCAUUUAAAGUAAGCCCUGUCAGUGUGGUUUCUUUUCUUUCUCUUUUUUUUCCAGCCACAUUGAGCUGUACUGCAAGGGUACAGAUGCACAGUGGGCAAAGGUCGUUAUACAAUCAGAACUGUAUUUAACCAAAGCAAGAGAGCAGCCAGCAAGUUACAGGUGUACACAAGCGAGUAUACAGGCUGACCAUGUUAAGAAGGGAGAAGAGGGAUGGCGAGGUAUAGAGCUAUGAUCAGUGCAUCCGGCGUGGGGCUGGGGAGACUUCCAAAAUCUGGGUAGGCGCUUAUGAAACUACAAAACUUCCCUGGUCCCACAGACAGGUGCUUCUCUGGAGACUGGGGCCGCCUGGGGUCAGCCAGCAUCCAAGCCCCACGCACCUCCUGCCGCCCAGGACUACGCUUCCCGGCGGCCUCUGCGCCCGGCGCCCAGGACUACACUUCCCGGCGGCCCCCACUUCGGAAGCGGUUUCGUCCAGAUCUGCCUUCCCGCCGCUGAUUGGCUGCUGGCGUCCGCCGUCCGCGCGGCGGCUCUCGGAGGUGGUGUCGGUCCGCUUGUCCUGACGCCAGGGGUUGUUAGUAUUCAAGGACGUGGCGAUAGACUUCACCCAGGGAGAGUGGAACUACCUGGGUGCUGCACAAAAGGACUUAUCCAGAGACGUGAUGUUGGAAAACUACCACAACCUGGUCUCUGUCGUAGGACUUUCCAGAUCUAAGCCAGAUGUGAUCUCCUUAUUGGAGCAAGAGAAACAGCCUUGGAUAGUUACAGGCCAUGACAGGCGGACCUUGCCCAGGUGAGUGAGAGCUCAUUGACAGAGAGAGGCCUUGGCAACCCAGGUGGCCUUGCCCUGCGGCAGUUACCACCUUUGAUAUUUUUAUUGGGAAGUGCCCUUCCAAGGACUGAGGCCUGACAAGGGAGAGAAGGCCUGAGUCAUAGAAAAGUAGCUUUGUUUCUCUCCCUUCUCAGAAACGUAGGUGCCCCCCUUCUCCAUGACCAGCAAUCUUUUCCUUAUAUGUGCAAUCUAAUUCUUUCCCAGCUUCCCCUUGUCAUUUAAACUUGUGUAAGUAUUGUCACUUCUGAACAAUA
Molecule: long non-coding RNA, 1934 nt
Organism: Acinonyx jubatus (cheetah)
Lineage: Eukaryota; Metazoa; Chordata; Mammalia; Carnivora; Felidae
Exons: 3
Source: RefSeq, a predicted model, not a curated record